This 72-nucleotide transfer RNA is filed under the name Camelus bactrianus (Bactrian camel). It matches the Rfam family "tRNA". From Rfam's summary of the family: Transfer RNA (tRNA) molecules are approximately 80 nucleotides in length. Their secondary structure includes four short double-helical elements and three loops (D, anti-codon, and T loops). RNAcentral also lists the same sequence under 2 other names. The record is from Rfam by way of RNAcentral. Lineage: Eukaryota; Metazoa; Chordata; Mammalia; Artiodactyla; Camelidae.
GAGGGUAUAGCUCAGUGGUAGAGUGCAUGCUUAGCACUCAGGAGGUCCUGGGUUCCAUUCCCAGUAACUCCA